AGCCCUGUAGUGUAGUGGUCAAGCAUGCAAAUUUAAGCAUAAGGCCCUGGACCUUGCGACUCAGGUUCGAAUCCUGACAGGGCUA
This 85-nucleotide transfer RNA is filed under the name Candidatus Woesearchaeota archaeon. Its description in RNAcentral is "tRNA-OTHER". It matches the Rfam family "tRNA". From Rfam's summary of the family: Transfer RNA (tRNA) molecules are approximately 80 nucleotides in length. The record is from RNAcentral. Lineage: Archaea; Nanobdellati; Candidatus Woesearchaeota.